Molecule: ribosomal RNA, 448 nt
Filed under: uncultured bacterium
Lineage: Bacteria
Description: partial 16S ribosomal RNA
Rfam family: Bacterial small subunit ribosomal RNA
Source: RNAcentral
AACGAACGCUGGCGGCAUGCCUAACACAUGCAAGUCGAACGAGACCUUCGGGUCUAGUGGCGCACGGGUGCGUAACGCGUGGGAAUCUACCCUUGGGUUCGGAAUAACAGUUAGAAAUGACUGCUAAUACCGGAUGAUGACGUAAGUCCAAGGAUUUAUCGCCCAAGGAUGAGCCCGCGUAAGAUUAGCUCGUUGGUGGGGUAAUGGCCUACCAAGGCGACGAUCUUUAGCUGGUCUGAGAGGAUGAUCAGCCACACUGGGACUGAGACACGGCCCAGACUCCUACGGGAGGCAGCAGUGGGGAAUAUUGGACAAUGGGCGAAAGCCGAUCCAGCAAUGCCGCGUGAGAGAUGAAGGCCUUAGGGUUGUAAAGCUCUUUUACCAGGGAUGAUAAUGACAGUACCUGGAGAAUAAGCUCCGGCUAACUCCGUGCCAGCCGCCGCGGUAA